Molecule: ribosomal RNA, 742 nt
Filed under: Azadinium perforatum
Lineage: Eukaryota; Dinophyceae; Gonyaulacales; Amphidomataceae
Description: partial large subunit ribosomal RNA
Rfam family: Eukaryotic large subunit ribosomal RNA
Source: RNAcentral
AGCAUAUAAGUAAGCGGAGGACAAGAAACUAAAUAGGAUUCCCUCAGUAAUGGCGAAUGAACAGGGAACAGCUCAGCAUGGAAAUCGGGGCCUCCCGGCCUUGAAUUGUAGUCUGGAGAUGUACUGCCAACAGAGGCGCAGAUGUAAGCCUCUUGGAAAAGAGCAUCAACGAGGGUGAGAGUCCCGUUUGUCAUCUGCAGUCCCCUGUGCACGGUGUGCAUUCUAAGAGUCGCGUUCCUCGGGAUUGGAGCGUAAAGCGGGUGGUAAAUUUCAUCUAAAGCUAAAUAUUGGUUCGAGACCGAUAGCAAACAAGUACCAUGAGGGAAAGGUGAAAAGGACUUUGAAAAGAGAGUUAAAAGUGCCUGAAAUUGCUGAAAGGGAAGCGAAUGGAACCAGUGUUCUUGGCGAGAUUGUCGCGCGCUCUGGUGAUUGCUGGCUGUCCUAGCGCAAGCGGGGCAGUUAGUUUUGAUCUAGCGGCGCGCGGUGUUUCUUACCUUGUGUGUCACCGUCGGCUCAUAAGCGAGGAAAACUCCAGGACCAUGGUAGUUCGGCUACGGUUGAGCGAAUGGGCUUGGUAGUACUCAUUUGUGAGUCGAUUCCAGCGUGUCUGGUUGCAGUGUUCGCUUCGUCUUUGGAUUGUUGGUUGAGGGCUUGCCCCGACACAUCAGCAGCUCCUUGGGCGCGGUGGGCGCUUCCCUGACACAAAGACGAUGACUAAAUGGUUCUAUUCGACCCGUCUUGA